UGUGUGCUGAAUAACUGCACCCAGAGCAUCUACGACUGAAAUCCUUUUGCUGGAGGUUUCUUCACUGCUGCAAAACUUGCGUUGUGUACUAAGAGAUCCUUGUUCACAUUUAUCCAUUAGUUUACGUUCAAGUUUUAUUUGGGAAGACCUGUAAAUGCUCUAAGCUGUCACAGAUCAUACCUGAUUCUAGCUUUCCACAGCUUUUUCCCUCGCCUGGGGAGCCUCAGGGAGGGAGGUGUGAGCACAGCACCAGACCCAGCCAUGCCCAAGGAUUAAAAAAAAUCGGUUUUGCUAUGACACGAAGAACACAGGGCACGCUGUCUCACACCUGCCCUGCUCCUUCCAGGGUGUAGUUAUCAGCUGGUAACGGACAGUCAAGGAAAAGCAAAGCAGCUGCCAUGCAAAAGCGCUUCAAGGGCUGCAUGCAAAGGCAGAACUCCGUGAAUGCUACAGAAACACGGCUACUCCAUCGUAACCCAACAAUUUGUCGUGGCUUUACAGUCCGUAUCAAACCUGCUUCCUGUGUCAGAAUACUAAGUAUAAAACAGUCUCGCUCCUCAUUCAAAUGCAGAAUAGGUUUUUACAUCAGAGUUGUUCUUGGCCAGAAGCCCGGUACCACAAGCUGUAUGAAAAUUGUCAGCGUUUCCGCGCAGCUACGGAAAUCAACAGCAAGAUUCCCGCUGUCUGCAAAUGAUCCGGUACUAGAGGUUCAUCUGUGAGCAUACCUCUCAACCAGGUCCCCGGAAUGGCAUCCACGUCCUCCAGCACAUCAUGCACUCCUCCAACUUACUGUCAUCCACAAACUCGAUGUGAGUGUGCUCACCCCAUCCACCUAGGUCAUCAGUGGUGACACUACACAGCUCCAGGCCAGGGACUGGCCCGAGGAACACCACCAGUUGGGGUCUGAAGAGGUUACCAGCCCAAUGCCAGCAGUUCCGUUACAUCUUUAAAUUAUCAUAAACUGGCACUUCAGCAGGAAGAUACAGUCCCAGUUUCUCUUCAGCAAGCAAAAACUUGAGAACAGACAGCACUGACAAGAAGCAACCAGGACACAGCAGCACAUUACUUCUUUUGGUGUAGACUUCCUGAUUUAUAUGCCACUCACGAAAUCACAGCCCUAGGAAUUACACCUUACAAUCAUGGGUCUUCAGCAUUAGUCUCUCUUUGUCACUUGACAGUAUAGAUAAAAUAAUCUCUUGCAACAAAAACAUGCAAUAAAGGUGUAAGAGCAACCAUGCUGGGACAACCAGAAGAUCCAGCUGCCCUCCUGCCUACCUGCACCUGCAUCCCCUCGACCCACAACAGAGGUAGCGUUCUGGUAACAGGCUUGACUCGGCUCCAUCUGGUAUUCCCAGGCCUGAGCUCCGGUUGUCAGAGCAGCAAUUAAACCUCAGAGCUAAACAAACGCAGAGAAGGAAGCACUGGCCACCAUGAAACAACAAAACAUGAAACCCAAAACGGAUCAAACUGAACUGAGCUAUGAUGAAUACCAUGAAGAUAAAAUAAGAAGUAGGAGGCAAGUUCACUGGUCUGUACCAUCACAUACAACCGAGUACCACAAAUUUAACUAUGAGACUUGUCCAUCUGUAAAUCAGCAUGCAGAUGAACUUCAUUUCUAAUAAAAUAUAUACAAAAACA
Long non-coding RNA from Cygnus olor (mute swan), 1638 nucleotides. RefSeq lists it as uncharacterized. The record is from RefSeq and is a predicted model, not a curated record. NCBI's taxonomy places the organism in Eukaryota, Metazoa, Chordata, Aves, Anseriformes, Anatidae. The transcript has 4 exons.